This is a non-coding RNA of Arachis ipaensis, 475 nucleotides long. Lineage: Eukaryota; Viridiplantae; Streptophyta; Magnoliopsida; Fabales; Fabaceae. The record is from RefSeq and is a predicted model, not a curated record.
AUAUUUUAGGAUCCAAUUGGCUUGAGAAAAAUAUUUACUCUUGCUUAUGUGAAGCAUGGGUAAGGUGGUGAAUAAAUAAUUGGAGCUUGAAAUUGUGAAUACUGGAAAUUGGAGGAAGUGGAUUAAUUGAGGUUUUGAGGACUGUGUUCUUUUAAGAAAAUUGUCUUGGAAUAAUACUUGGGAAUCGGCUAAGAUGCAGGUCGAGAGGCAUCUCGUUAGGCGUCUGGACCCUUGAACCAAAGUGGUUACUGGGCUAUUUUGUUGUACAGUGAUGUAUAUGUAUGUACUUAGCUUUCUCUCCGCAUAAUUUAUUCUUUUUGAUCCUCUUAGAGGUUUAAGGAGAGGCAGGAUUGUGUAUAUGUACUUUUAGGUUUUGGAUAUGUAUGUACAUAUGUGUAAAUAUUCACCGGCCAGUCUUGACAUCGCAGGUUGAGUUAGGAGCUUGUUAUUUUGUAUCUUUGGUACUAUAUUCCUA